Molecule: ribosomal RNA, 253 nt
Filed under: uncultured bacterium
Lineage: Bacteria
Description: partial 16S ribosomal RNA
Rfam family: Bacterial small subunit ribosomal RNA
Source: RNAcentral
UACGUAGGGUGCAGGCGUUAAUCGGAAUUACUGGGCGUAAAGCGUGCGCAGGCGGUUUCUUAAGUCAGAUGUGAAAGCCCCGGGCUCAACCUGGGAACUGCAUUUGUGACUGCAUCGCUGGAGUGCGGCAGAGGGGGAUGGAAUUCCGCGUGUAGCAGUGAAAUGCGUAGAUAUGCGGAGGAACACCGAUGGCGAAGGCAAUCCCCUGGGCCUGCACUGACGCUCAUGCACGAAAGCGUGGGGAGCAAACAGG